Molecule: unclassified non-coding RNA, 305 nt
Filed under: air metagenome
Description: partial contains small subunit ribosomal RNA, internal transcribed spacer 1, and 5.8S ribosomal RNA
Rfam family: Eukaryotic small subunit ribosomal RNA (bases 1-46)
Source: RNAcentral
AAGUCGUAACAAGGUUUCCGUAGGUGAACCUGCGGAAGGAUCAUUAACGAGUUUUGAAGUGGGUUUGAUGCUGGCCUUCCCAGGCAUGUGCUCGCCCUGCUCUCAUCCACUCACACCUGUGCACCUAUAAAUGUCAGAAGAUUCAUCCCCUAGACUCUUAGGGGUGUAGUUCGAGCUAGCUUGGACUAUUGGGUUGAGUCUUUUGCGUUUACCUUUUUAUAAACUCUUGAAUGUAAUAGAAUGUCCAUGGCCUACGGGCUUUUAUAAAUGAAAUACAACUUUCAACAACGGAUCUCUUGGCUCUC